UACGGGGGGGUAAGCGUUGUUCGGAAUUACUGGGCGUAAAGGGCUCGUAGGCGGCCAACUAAGUCGGACGUGAAAUCCCUCAGCUUAACUGGGGAACUGCGUCCGAUACUGGAUGGCUUGGAUUUGGGAGAGGGAUGCGGAAUUCCAGGUGUAGCGGUGAAAUGCGUAGAUAUCGAGAGGAACACCUGCGGCGAAGGCGGGUAGCUGGGCCGACACUGACGCUGAUGCGCGAAAGCGUGGGGAGCGAACAGG
This 252-nucleotide ribosomal RNA is filed under the name uncultured bacterium. RNAcentral describes it as "partial 16S ribosomal RNA". It matches the Rfam family "Bacterial small subunit ribosomal RNA", at positions 524 to 776 of the family's 1533-position model. The record is from RNAcentral.